AGUGAACGCUGGCGGUAGGCCUAACACAUGCAAGUCGAACGGCAGCACAGUAAGAGCUUGCUCUUACGGGUGGCGAGUGGCGGACGGGUGAGGAAUACAUCGGAAUCUACUUUUUCGUGGGGGAUAACGUAUGGAAACUUACGCUAAUACCGCAUACGACCUACGGGUGAAAGCAGGGGAUCUUCGGACCUUGCGCGAUUGAAUGAGCCGAUGUCGGAUUAGCUAGUUGGCGGGGUAAAGGCCCACCAAGGCGACGAUCCGUAGCUGGUCUGAGAGGAUGAUAAGCCACACUGGAACUGAGAAACGGUCCAGACUCCUACGGGAGGCAGCAGUGGGGAAUAUAGGACAAUGGGGGAAAGCAUGAUCCAGCCAUACAGGGUGGGUGAAGAAGGCAUUCGGGUUGUAAAGCCCUUUUGUUGGGAAAAAAAAGCAGCAGGUUAAUACCCCGCUGUUCUGACGGUACCCAAAGAAUAAGCACGGGCAAACUUCGU
Molecule: ribosomal RNA, 491 nt
Filed under: uncultured bacterium
Lineage: Bacteria
Description: partial 16S ribosomal RNA
Rfam family: Bacterial small subunit ribosomal RNA
Source: RNAcentral